RNAcentral lists this long non-coding RNA (350 nucleotides) under Prunus dulcis (almond). Its description in RNAcentral is "sRNA ncRNA". Lineage: Eukaryota; Viridiplantae; Streptophyta; Magnoliopsida; Rosales; Rosaceae. The record is from RNAcentral.
CGAAAAAUCCAAAAGCAGAACACCAACAUAUCCAUGGAGCUUAGCAAUGGUUGCUCAGUGCCCAAAAUUCACCAAUUACCCACUUAAUCCCUCAACAUCCUAUACAAAAUACAAUAUUCACAAGCUCUCAAUUGCAUCUUGAGCAAUGCUUUCAACUUCAUAAAAGAAAAUUCUCUUCCUGUUGAAGAAUCCAAAGCCUCCCUCAUCGUCCUCCUCAUUGAGCUCCUCUCUCUCCAAUUCCCCCAAUAUCUCUAUGGUUCUUCCAGUUCGAAUCACGAAAAGCACUCAAUUCCCACAGAGAGAUGGGAGGGAGGAAUGGAUUGGACUGGGAUACAAUAUAGAGGUGGGUG